This 442-nucleotide ribosomal RNA is filed under the name Escherichia coli. Its description in RNAcentral is "partial 23S ribosomal RNA". It matches the Rfam family "Bacterial large subunit ribosomal RNA", at positions 614 to 1056 of the family's 2925-position model. The record is from RNAcentral. Lineage: Bacteria; Pseudomonadati; Pseudomonadota; Gammaproteobacteria; Enterobacterales; Enterobacteriaceae.
AAUGGGUCAGCGACUUAUAUUCUGUAGCAAGGUUAACCGAAUAGGGGAGCCGAAGGGAAACCGAGUCUUAACUGGGCGUUAAGUUGCAGGGUAUAGACCCGAAACCCGGUGAUCUAGCCAUGGGCAGGUUGAAGGUUGGGUAACACUAACUGGAGGACCGAACCGACUAAUGUUGAAAAAUUAGCGGAUGACUUGUGGCUGGGGGUGAAAGGCCAAUCAAACCGGGAGAUAGCUGGUUCUCCCCGAAAGCUAUUUAGGUAGCGCCUCGUGAAUUCAUCUCCGGGGGUAGAGCACUGUUUCGGCAAGGGGGUCAUCCCGACUUACCAACCCGAUGCAAACUGCGAAUACCGGAGAAUGUUAUCACGGGAGACACACGGCGGGUGCUAACGUCCGUCGUGAAGAGGGAAACAACCCAGACCGCCAGCUAAGGUCCCAAAGUCAU